GAUGAACGCUAGCUACAGGCUUAACACAUGCAAGUCGCGGGGCAGCAUUUCCUUAGCUUGCUAAGGAAGAUGGCGACCGGCGCACGGGUGAGUAACGCGUAUCGAACCUGCCCCAUACCCGGGGAUAGCCUUGCGAAAGUAAGAUUAAUACCCGAUGGUUUCCUUUUAUCUCCUGAUAGAGGGAAUAAAGAAUUUCGGUAUGGGAUGGCGAUGCGUCCGAUUAGCUAGUUGGCGGGGUAACGGCCCACCAAGGCGACGAUCGGUAGGGGUUCUGAGAGGAAGGUCCCCCACAUUGGAACUGAGACACGGUCCAAACUCCUACGGGAGGCAGCAGUGAGGAAUAUUGGUCAAUGGGCGAAAGCCUGAACCAGCCAAGUAGCGUGCAGGAUGACGGCCCUAUGGGUUGUAAACUGCUUUUAGGCGGGGUAAAGUGGCGGACGUGUUCCGCCUUUGCAAGUCCGCCAGAAAAAGGCCGGCUAAUUCCGUG
RNAcentral lists this ribosomal RNA (487 nucleotides) under uncultured bacterium. RNAcentral describes it as "bacterial SSU rRNA". It matches the Rfam family "Bacterial small subunit ribosomal RNA", at positions 28 to 507 of the family's 1533-position model. The record is from RNAcentral.